GCCAGCGGCCGAAGGUGGGAUUAGUGAUUGGGGUGAAGUCGUAACAAGGUAGCCGUAGGAGAACCUGCGGCUGGAUCACCUCCUUUCUAAGGAGA
RNAcentral lists this ribosomal RNA (95 nucleotides) under Clostridium botulinum. Its description in RNAcentral is "partial 16S ribosomal RNA". It matches the Rfam family "Bacterial small subunit ribosomal RNA", at positions 1448 to 1533 of the family's 1533-position model. The record is from RNAcentral. Lineage: Bacteria; Bacillati; Bacillota; Clostridia; Eubacteriales; Clostridiaceae.